Molecule: ribosomal RNA, 451 nt
Filed under: Alticini sp. BMNH 835476
Lineage: Eukaryota; Metazoa; Arthropoda; Insecta; Coleoptera; Chrysomelidae
Description: partial 16S ribosomal RNA
Source: RNAcentral
UCUUUUUGUUUGAAUAUUUAAAGUCUCGCCUGCCCAAUGAAGUUUGAAUGGCCGCAGUAUUUUAACUGUGCUAAGGUAGCAUAAUCAUUAGUUUUUUAAUUGAAAGCUGGAAUGAAGGGUUGGAUGAAAAAAUAGCUGUCUCUUUAUAAUUAAUAUUGAAUUUUAUUUUUAAGUUCAAAAGCUUAAAUUUAUUUAAAAGACGAGAAGACCCUAUAGAGUUUUAUUUUAUUAUUAAUAAUAAAAUUUAGAAUUUAUUUUUAUUUUUUUUUAAUUAAAUUUGAUUGGGGUGAUUUAAAAAUUUAAUUAACUUUUUAUGUUUUAAGCUAUAAAUUUAUAUUUAUUUGAUCCAAGUUUAUUGAUUAAUAGAUAAGUUACCUUAGGGAUAACAGCGUAAUUUUAUUUUAGAGUUCUUAUUGAAAAUAAAGAUUGCGACCUCGAUGUUGGAUUAAAA